This 1325-nucleotide long non-coding RNA is filed under the name Anas platyrhynchos (mallard). Its description in RNAcentral is "lncRNA (ENSAPLG00020008288.1)". The record is from RNAcentral. Lineage: Eukaryota; Metazoa; Chordata; Aves; Anseriformes; Anatidae.
GUGAAUGGCCCUAUUCAUGCACGCGGUAUAACAAGCACUAAGCUACGGUGCUUCAGGCUCUGCUGAGUCAAAGAAAAGUGUGGCAGGAAGGGAUGUUUUGGGGGGUUGUUUUUUCCUUUUGCAGGGCCAGGCCUACAACUACAGGAUGAAGCUGCUCCUAAGCCCUGGUCUGGAAGCCCCCAUGUUCAUGCAGGAGCCAGAAUAAUGCAUGCUCAGUCCUGGUUUGCCAGCAGAGAACCUUGGCUGGGAGCUGCAGAGUUUCUUGGAGGCUAAACUUCAAAGGAAAAAGAUGUUAGAUGGAUGUUGUAAGAGACAGGACACGACAAAAACCAAACCCAAGUAUGAUGUUGCAUUGAAGAAAGAUCACAAAUUGAGUCACUGUGCGGACACAGAGCCGACAGAAGAUGCUGAAAGAUUUUCAGACAGAUAACAGAUAUUUCUCCAUUCAAAUUCCAUAGGCAAGCAUUUCCACCAUUAGUUUGCUCAAAGUACAUAAUGUGUAUCUCUGAAUGCUCUCUGUAUAUUCAAGGCCUUAAAUGAAAUAUCAACUUUCAAGUGAUUCUUUUUUUCUUUUUUCUUUUUUUUUUUUUCCCCAAAUAUUUAUUUCAGAAACAGCAAAUAGGAUUUUCCUUAAAAUGGAGAACAGCUCGUUCGUUUUCUCGUCUUCUCAGAGACCAAUGUUACUUAAGAAAAAUACAGACGUAAAGACAGGAGGUGGGGAAGUCUGAACCUUGGUUUAUAUUACCUUAUUGAGCCUGUUAGGGCAAAAUAUUUAAGCCUAUGUUUACCAGAGCUGCGUAUUUUCAAUGAUUAGGGAUUCAUUUAAUGAAUAGUCUCAGCUUCCAAAAAGGGAGAUAAAAUAAAUGCUUCAUUUGACAAUAGUGAUAUGCAAUGCUUUGUUUCCGAAGUGCUCGAGUACUCCUAACAUUUUUAUCUUUUUUAUUUUCUAAAUGACACCUGUGGUGUCAUCUAAACAAGAAAAAGUGGUGUUUGUAUUUUUUUUUUCAGUUUGUUCAAAUUUCUACAUUGAGUCAGAGUUAAAUAUUUUAACAAUUUAAAAUAUAAGUUUAAUCUUGCCAAAAUUUUAAAAGAAAAGCAUCCUUUAAUUUGAUCCUGCUAUUUAUUUAUUUUUUUUUGGGGGGGGGGGAGGUUAAGCACUUGGUGAAAUAAAAAUUCCACAAUCAUAUAACCCCUGAGCACUUAAAUAUAACAUGAUCUGUCAAUGGACCCCUGAGUGUAUUAAAGUGAGGCACAUUUUGAGUAUUCAGCUAGAAUAAACAAUUGAGGAAAAAUAUUUUUAAAGAACUCCUCACUGAUGAAUUUCC